GCUUUUCUUGGACCCCGAAAUUUUCUUAUCUCUUUUUCAUUUUCUUGAACCCCGAACGUUUCUCUGCUUCUUUUUCUUAUUUUCUUGAACCCCGAAAUUUUCUCUGUGCAAACGAUCCUCGGACCUCUGCAUUUGAACCCCAGAAAAUGCCUCAGCACUCCUUUUUGCCAACAUAAUGAACCCCGAUCUCCAGUUUGAACCCCAGUCGCCUGACGAUAACUCUCGAUCGCCAGAAUGAAC
This 240-nucleotide long non-coding RNA is filed under the name Lathyrus oleraceus (garden pea). RNAcentral's name for it is "Pisum sativum (pea) long non-coding RNA (PSAT_LNC040641)". Lineage: Eukaryota; Viridiplantae; Streptophyta; Magnoliopsida; Fabales; Fabaceae. The record is from RNAcentral.